This 328-nucleotide ribosomal RNA is filed under the name Lactiplantibacillus plantarum. RNAcentral describes it as "bacterial SSU rRNA". It matches the Rfam family "Bacterial small subunit ribosomal RNA", at positions 60 to 359 of the family's 1533-position model. Lineage: Bacteria; Bacillati; Bacillota; Bacilli; Lactobacillales; Lactobacillaceae. The record is from RNAcentral.
AGUCGAACGAACUCUGGUAUUGAUUGGUGCUUGCAUCAUGAUUUACAUUUGAGUGAGUGGCGAACUGGUGAGUAACACGUGGGAAACUUGCCCAGAAGCGGGGGAUAACACCUGGAAACAGAUGCUAAUACCGCAUAACAACUUGGACCGCAUGGUCCGAGUCCUGAAAGAUGGCUUCGGCUAUCACUUUUGGAUGGUCCCGCGGCGUAUUAGCUAGAUGGUGGGGUAACGGCUCACCAUGGCAAUGAUACGUAGCCGACCUGAGAGGGUAAUCGGCCACAUUGGGACUGAGACACGGCCCAAACUCCUACGGGAGGCAACAGUAGGG